UUAAGCGACUAAGCGUACACGGUGGAUGCCCUGGCAGUCAGAGGCGAUGAAGGACGUGCUAAUCUGCGAUAAGCGCCGGUAAGGUGAUAUGAACCGUUAUAACCGGCGAUUUCCGAAUGGGGAAACCCAGUGUGAUUCGUCACACUAUCAUUAACUGAAUCCAUAGGUUAAUGAGGCGAACCGGGGGAACUGAAACAUCUAAGUACCCCGAGGAAAAGAAAUCAACCGAGAUUCCCCCAGUAGCGGCGAGCGAACGGGGAGGAGCCCAGAGCCUGAAUCAGCAUGUGUGUUAGUGGAAGCGUCUGGAAAGGCGCGCGAUACAGGGUGACAGCCCCGUACACAAAAGCGCAUGUGCUGUGAGCUCGAUGAGUAGGGCGGGACACGUGGUAUCCUGUCUGAAUAUGGGGGGACCAUCCUCCAAGGCUAAAUACUCCUGACUGACCGAUAGUGAACCAGUACCGUGAGGGAAAGGCGAAAAGAACCCCGGCGAGGGGAGUGAAAAAGAACCUGAAACCGUGUACGUACAAGCAGUGGGAGCACAGGUUUACCUGUGUGACUGCGUACCUUUUGUAUAAUGGGUCAGCGACUUAUAUUCUGUAGCAAG
This 604-nucleotide ribosomal RNA is filed under the name Salmonella enterica subsp. enterica serovar Newport. RNAcentral describes it as "partial 23S ribosomal RNA". It matches the Rfam family "Bacterial large subunit ribosomal RNA", at positions 1 to 644 of the family's 2925-position model. The record is from RNAcentral. Lineage: Bacteria; Pseudomonadati; Pseudomonadota; Gammaproteobacteria; Enterobacterales; Enterobacteriaceae.